UACGGGGGGGGUAAGCGUUGUUCGGAAUUACUGGGCGUAAAGGGCUCGUAGGCGGCCAACUAAGUCGGACGUGAAAUCCCUCAGCUUAACUGGGGAACUGCGUCCGAUACUGGAUGGCUUGGAUUUGGGAGAGGGAUGCGGAAUUCCAGGUGUAGCGGUGAAAUGCGUAGAUAUCUGGAGGAACACCGGUGGCGAAGGCGGCAUCCUGGACCGAGAUUGACGCUGAGGCGCGAAAGCUAGGGGAGCAAACGGG
RNAcentral lists this ribosomal RNA (253 nucleotides) under uncultured bacterium. RNAcentral's name for it is "partial 16S ribosomal RNA". It matches the Rfam family "Bacterial small subunit ribosomal RNA", at positions 524 to 776 of the family's 1533-position model. The record is from RNAcentral.